AGCUCACAGCCCCGCGCGCUGCUCUGCUCCCUGAGCAAAAAGUCUCGCUCUUCCAGGGCGCUCCAGGCCCGGACCUCCCAGGGUUGCUGGGUCUCUGGGGCUUCCUGGGGUCAACGAACUGUGCUAGACUGGUGAUUUAAGAAUCUGACCAUCUCCAAUGAAGAAUGCGGGAAUAAAAUAUCAUGCAAAUAAUUUCAAGGCCGAGAGACUCUCUGGGGAUUCCCAACAAAAUGGGUGCAAGCCAAGACUGAAAGGCAGCUCCUGACUCCAGUUUCUAAGUUGCCGCCCCGCCCACCGCUGGUUCCUGUGCAGAGAGAGAGAGAUUCCUUGAUCAGAAGCCCAGGAAACAGUGUGGCUGACUUCACAGCACCCUCACCUAUGCCUGGCGCUCACUCUCCUGAGGGGGAAAUGAUCCUCAGGGCAGGUGCAUGCAUCAGCCCUGGACGAGACCCCGGGCCCUCCGCCUUCCCCUUCUCCUUGAAAGUGACCCCAUAUGGGAUUUGGGGACCAGCUUCCCUGGACCUCUGUUCUCUCCUCUGUAAAGUGAGGAGGUUUAACUGCUACAGUUGUGUGACUGAUUUUUGUAUUAAAGCAAAAUUAUACCAAAAAUA
Molecule: long non-coding RNA, 611 nt
Organism: Leopardus geoffroyi (Geoffroy's cat)
Lineage: Eukaryota; Metazoa; Chordata; Mammalia; Carnivora; Felidae
Exons: 2
Source: RefSeq, a predicted model, not a curated record